RNAcentral lists this long non-coding RNA (6126 nucleotides) under Sus scrofa (pig). RNAcentral describes it as "lncRNA (ENSSSCG00030015621.1)". The record is from RNAcentral. Lineage: Eukaryota; Metazoa; Chordata; Mammalia; Artiodactyla; Suidae.
UUUUUUUUUUUCUUUUUUUGCCUUUUUGCCUUUUCUAGGGCCACUCCCACGUCUGGAACCUCCAUGUGCCGUGGGAGCGGCCCAAGAAAUAGCAAAAAGACAAAAACAAAAACAAAGUUGGUCUUGGAUUUGUUACAAAACAUACAUGUUGAUAAUAGCUCUUGCUUAUAGAGUGCUUACCAUAUGCCAGAUACCAUGGUAAUUGCUUUACAUUUACUAGUACAGUUAAUCCUCAUAGUAACCCAAGGAAGUAGUAACUAUUAUUAUCCCUGCUUUUAGGUGUGGAAGCUGAGGCCUGUAGAGGUUAGGUGAUUUAUGCAAGGUUAUAUAGCUAAUAAGUGGUGGGUCUGGGAUAUGAAUAUAGACAGUUUGCCUUCAGAGUUUGUGACCUUAACUUCUACAUGUACUGUUUUUCUCUUUAGUCGAAUGGAAAAAAAUGAAACAAUUUAAAUAUGAGCAAGGGAGGAUUCCUUUAGAAAGGAAAGUCUUUCUAAUGACUUAUAAAAAGCAGAAGACUUAAAAGAUUGAUAAAUUUAAUCACAACAAAAUAAAAAUCAUCUUCCAGGCAAAAAUUACCAUCAGCAAAUUCAAAAGAUAAAGUGGGGUAAAUAUUUGCAACUCAUAUCAUAGGUGAAGGAUUGAUCUCCCUAAAAUGUAAGACGUUCCUAGAAGAUAAGAAAACACCAAGAACCGUUAGAGAAAUAGACAAAGGUUAUGAGCAGUUACAGAAAAGGUGGUAUAAUUGACUCUAGAAUGUAUAAAAAGAUGCUCAACUUCACUCAUAAUGAGAAUGUGAGUCCCAUUUUUCACUCUUCAGAUUGGCAAAAAUCCAGAACUUUGAUGAUACACUUUGUUGGUAAAUCCUUAAGGAAAAAGGCACUCUCGUACAUUGCUGGCAAGAAUGUAAAUUGGCUCAACUCUUAUGGAAGGCAAUUUGGCAAUAUCUAUCAAAAAUUUAAAUGCAUAUACCUUUUGACCUAGGAAUUCAGUUUCUGGGAAUUUAUCCUACAGAUACACUUGCACUCAUGCCAAAUGAUGACUGUACCAGGUUAUUCACUGCAGCUUUGUUUGCAGUAGUCAAAGAUUGGAAACAACCCAAAUGCCCAUCAAUAGGGGCUAGUUAAAUAAAUUAUGGUUCCUCCUCACAAUGGAAUAUGCAGCUGUAUAAAAGAACAUGGGAAAUCUAUAUGAAUGGGUAUGGCGAGAUUGCCAAGAUAUAGUGUUAAGUGAAAAGUGCAAGGUCAGAACAGCGUUAUACAUUUCCUUAACUCUUGUGUGAACAGGGAGGGAAAUAAUCAUAUGUAUGCACAAAGAAACUUCCAAGGACAGCUAAGAAACUAAUGGCUGGGAAGAGGACUAUGCAGUGAACUGAUGGUGGAGGGGAGACAGAGCUGGGAGACUUGACGCUGUGCUUUUUUUUAUAACUUUCGACUUUUGUAAUGUGACUGUGUUAUUGAAUUAAGUAACUCUACUUUGAAGAUGAUCUCUUUCUGCUGUUUUUAGCCUAAUUGACCAGCUUUCUAUCAUCUUUUGUCAUCCCUGUUUCAAGUUCUUUUUAAAUUUUACUCUCUUUUUCUUGUCAAAGUCUUUUUUUCUUCCCCAACUUGCUUUUGUAAUCAAAAUCCACAUUUUGGCAUGAUUUAAAAAUCUAAAUUUAGAGGGUGAAAUUGAAAUAAGUUAAUCCAAGUCAUUUUACAUUUCAUAAAUAUUCAUUUUUAUUGAAGCGUCAAUUGUGGUGGCAUCAUUUAUACAAAGAAAAGAUCUUUGGGGACAAAUUCCUUCCACUAUUAUGUAGAAGGCAUUAUGUGUAUUUCUUUUAUUUUGAGUGAUGUACGUAGACUUUUAAAAGAAAAUGAUAGAAAACAAUUUUCCUUUUAGAAAAAUUUUCCCCAAUGUGUGAUUAAUUUCUAAAUUGUAGGACACAGAGCUAUUAUCUCUCCUCUGCAUCCUGUCUAAAGCUCUUUAUUUUAUCCUCUGUUUCAGAAUCCUUAGUACUUCUCUGAAAUCCUUGGAAUAGGAUAUUCCAUACCUCCCAGGAUCUGAUCCUUACCAUUCCAGCUUUUCUUCCCGGUGUGCCACUAUAGAACCUCAAAUUCUGGCUGGCAUGUGUUUUAGUGUUUUGCCUCUGGAAAUGCUCAUGUGAUUUUUACCCAAGUGGGUUCCACAUUCCAAUCUUUUCAUUUAGUUCUUUAUUAAGUGUUUAUUAAAAGCCUGCUUAGGUAAAACAUUGUGUUUUCCAUUUAUCUGUAAGAUACUUUUCCUUAAAACUUGCCCUGCUAGAAUUCCAUUUCUCCUAUAAAUCCAUCCCUUUCCUCUCCAACCUAAGUGACCCCUUUCUUUUCUAUUAGAUAAAUAAUUAUGUGCCUACCACUUUAUGAAUCUUCUUAUCAGAUCUUCCAUUUGUUACUUAGGUGCUUUUUUGCUACCCAGGAUAUCAAAUCUAUGUCUUAUCUCCCCAUACGAGUAUGAGCUCCCCAGAGUAUGGCUGUCCAGAGGGGGGCACCAUGUUUCACUGUUUAGAGGGAGGGGCUAGGCCAUGUUUGAUACUUGUUUUAUCCUGUAGUCUAUAGCACCUCACAAAGGGCACUGCCUGCAUCAGACACUCAAUAAUGUUUUGUGGAUAUUGGGCAAAGUGUGUUUAAUGUGACAACAAAGACCAAAAAGGUGGUCUUUUUAUGUAACCAUUCUGUGACACAGAAAAUCUAAUAAUGAAACACAACAUGUUCCAUCUUUGGGGCACAUACUCUGUGCUUCCACUAGUGGUGAUAGAUUUGUGCUGAUGUCAGACUUUCCUCUCCAUCAUGCCUGUGACAGUGGUAAGCUUUUCUCUUGGCCAGGAUGAAUGAUGGGGAGCCCCUUGUCCUCACAUCUCUGAGCAGUGACAUGCUAGGAACCGGUGGCAGUGGUAGGGCAAGAGGUGUCAUGCUUGGUACAGCCUGGGGUGGGGGCGGCCCUGGCCUGCUGCCCUCCAGUUCAGGGGGACUCAGGGAGUCCCUGUGUUGGCUGGGGGAGGGAGGAGAGUGAGGGCAGCUGAGGUGAGGAAUGGCAAGCUGAUUGGGUGAGGAGACAUCAGCCUAGGAUAUGGGUGCCAAGAGAGCCAGGAGCUUCCAGGCCCUCAGCUGGGGCCUGAGCCGAUGCCUCUUUGCUGAGCUUGGUCUGGCCCCUUCACAGGCCCCAGUGCCCUAAUGGCUGUCACCCCUGCUGCCUUGGCAGACGGCCAGGCCCUUUCCCAUGCUACCACAGCUGGCUGGCUCUGCCAUCCUGUGCCAGUCCAAAUCGCCAAACUCUGGUGCUGUACGAAAGACUGAAUUCUGCAAAAGAUAUUUGAGGACAUCAGUGUAUGAUGAAGGAAAGUUGUGAUUCUUCUAUAUCCUACUCUUUCAUCUUUCUUCCAUUAUUAAUCUCGUUUGUUAGAGAGCAUCAUGAUGUUUAGUGAGAAGUUAGCACUAGAGUGCAAACUACUUGAGAGCAGGAUUCUGUCUUAUUCUUUGUGCCUGGAACACAGUACGUUGACAGUAAAACUGCAGGCCCACACAAUAGCCACAGCAACUGGGGAUCCGAACAUCGACUGCGCCCUACACCACAGCUCACGGAAACACCGGAUUCUUAACCCAUUGAGUGAGGCCAGAGAUCGAACCUGUGACCUCAUGGAUACUAGUUGGGUUCAUUAACCACUGAGCCAUGAUGGGAACUCCUAGCCACAUUCAUCUUUGAUCCUUGCCUCUGUAUACAAUAUUGCCCUCCUCCAAUAAGCCUGGAUUGUUCCUUGCCUUCUGUAUUAGUGGUUUCCAAAGAAACAGAAAUACACACACACACACACACACACACACACACACACACACACACACACACAGAGAUUUGCUGUGAGAGAUUGGCUGACAUGAUAGUGGAGGCUGAGAAGUGUAAGAUCUGCCAUCUGUCAGCUGGACGCUCAGGAUAGCCGGUGAUGUAAUUUAGUCCAAGCCUGAAAGAUGAGAACCAGGUGAGCCAGUCUGAGUCCUAAGAACCAGAAUCAGGAGUGUCUGAGGGCAGGAGAAGACAGACGUCCCACUCAAGCAGAGAGAGCAGAUGCACCCUUCCUUCACCUUUCUAUUCCGAUCUGAUCAGAUUGGGUGAGCCCCCUCAUAUUGGUAAGGCCAUCUUCUUUACUCAGUGUCCCAAUCUAAAUAACCAGCUCUUCUGGAAGCACCUUCACAGACACAAUCAGAAGUAAAAAUUCAUCAGCUAUCUGGGCAUCCCUUAGCUCAGUCAAGUUGCCACGGAAAACUAACCAUCACACUCUCCUUGGCCACUGCUUCCACUCUUCCCAGUCUAUCAUGAGCACCACUAUGAGGCAUCUGUUUAAACCUAAUUUCUUUCUGUAACUGCUGAGAAAAUAGUGGUAACCCCAUGUGAUCUGUCUGAUGACUCUACUCUCUUCAUCUUGGAGUUAGAAACUUUCUUUAACUUGCUGCUAAUCUCAGUGUUCCCGAUCUCUGCUUUCAACGCUGAGGUUGACUCCUGCUCUUAGAAUCUUCCUCCAGGAUAUUUGUGCUUUUAUUUACAGCCCAUCUCAAUAUUCCUGGGCUUUUUUAAGGCUAAAUAUAUAUGGAGCGCAAUGAUUGCUGUUUUCCCUCUGAAGUCCUAGUCUGGUCACAGUGCCCUGUGUGCAUGGCCAGAGCUCUUGGAUGACAAUGGCCAAGCUAAGCUGUUUGGUCUUCCAAUAACAUCCCUGAAUGUCCUCUCAAAAACGUUCCUCACCUUUGGUGAAAUACUUGGCUACUUUGGUUAUGAUGCUGUUAAAAUAAACUGAGGCAUAUUCAAAUUUUUAAGAGUUUAUUUGAGCAAAAAUUGAUUCAAAUCAGGCAGCAUCCCAUCUAGCAGAUAAAAGGAGCUACAGGGAUCUGUACAAAAAGAAAGAUUUCUUUUUUUUUGUCUCUUGAGGGCUGCACCCCCAGCAUAUGGAAGUUCCCAGGCUAGGGGUCUAAUCAGAACAGCAGCUUCUGGCCUACACCACAGCCACAGCAAUGCGGGAUCUGAGCCAUGUCUUUGACCUACACCACAGCUUAAGGCAACACCGGAUCCUUAACCCACUGGGCGAGGCCAGGGAUCAAACCUGUAUCCUCAUGCAUACUAAUCGGGUUUGUUACCGUUGAGCCAUGAAAGGUUUUUAUAGGCAGGAGGAAAUAGGAACAAAGAAUAUACUAGGCAAAAUAGUGGGUUGGUUAUUACAAGGAUGCUUUCCUCUAGGGGAUGGCAGAAUGUCUCUCAGGCAGGUUACCCAACUAGUGCUCAUCAGGUGAGCACUGGUUUAAGACUUCAUUUCUGGGAGAGCCCAAACUGCAGCUGAGGUAAAUCUUGGCUUGGUGACGUGGGGCUUAGCAUAAGCCACUUCAUUUGGGUCCUGUUGUUUUUUAUUUUUAAACAUUGCCAAACGCUUGAUUUUACCUUAACCAGAGAAUGCCACAGCCUCUGAAUCAGCUGGGUCCUCUUCUGUAAGCUGAGUCUCUUAUGAAAUGGUGGCUAAGGCUAGUGCCCUUCAUAGAGAAAGAGAUGGUUCCUUAUAUUUCUGUAGGACUUUUGUACCAUUUCAUGUGAGCAUAUCUACAGAAUUUCUCAGCAGGAUAUAUUUUUGAUCCACUAGCUUGUUGCAUAAGUGUAUUAAAUUUGUGUUAUAAUACAGUAAAGACUAGUAUUGGUGAAACUGGAAGAAAUGCAGUUACAGUGUGUUUUGAUGAGUAUAUUAUUACUACAUUUAAAAAAAUGAAGAAUAAAAUUCAGAAACAUUGAAUAUCUUCCCAGCGCAUGUACAUAAAAUGAAUUCUUUAGAAGGUGUUACCAUGGUAAGGUAAUCACAUUAGUGUUGAAUUUUCCUCUGGAACUUUUUCAUAUUUCACCUUUUUUUUUUUUUAAAUAAUAUAGUUUACUGUUAGGUACUUUAUAGUUUUCUUAGGUCAAACAUAAUGUGAAAAAUUAAAAAGCAUUGUUCACAGGGGGCCAAACGUUAUUCUUUGGCCAACUGAAAAAAUUUUGAUAUUUUAACAGAUUUUGCCCAGAAGGCGAGAGUCAUGAAAUUGAAAUACUGUGAGGGAAUUCAGAGCUUUCCAGCUGGAGCAAAUGAAACCUCAAGGAAAAAAAAAAAAAAAA